Molecule: ribosomal RNA, 274 nt
Filed under: uncultured bacterium
Lineage: Bacteria
Description: partial 16S ribosomal RNA
Rfam family: Bacterial small subunit ribosomal RNA
Source: RNAcentral
AGACAGAGGUGGCAAGCGUUGUUCGGAUUUGCUGGGCGUAAAGAGUUCGUAGGCGGUUGUGUGUGUCAGAUGUGAAAUCCCAGGGCUUAACCCUGGAAUUGCAUUUGAAACUGCAGGACUUGAGGACAGGAGGGGGAAGUGGAAUUCCCGGUGUAGCGGUGAAAUGCGUAGAUAUCGGGAAGAACACCGGUGGCGAAGGCGGCUUCCUGGACUGUCCCUGACGCUGAGGAACGAAAGCGUGGGUAGCAAACAGGAUUAGAAACCCUAGUAGUCC